This 69-nucleotide transfer RNA is filed under the name Parcoblatta uhleriana. Its description in RNAcentral is "tRNA-Lys". The record is from RNAcentral. Lineage: Eukaryota; Metazoa; Arthropoda; Insecta; Blattodea; Blattellidae.
UACAUUUUGGUGUAUGGUGCACAAGAAUUUUUUAUAUUCUGGGUAAUAGUUUAAUUCUAUUAAAUGUAA